Molecule: unclassified non-coding RNA, 301 nt
Filed under: uncultured fungus
Lineage: Eukaryota; Fungi
Description: partial contains small subunit ribosomal RNA, internal transcribed spacer 1, and 5.8S ribosomal RNA
Rfam family: Eukaryotic small subunit ribosomal RNA (bases 1-73)
Source: RNAcentral
GCAAACUUGGUCAUUUAGAGGAAGUAAAAGUCGUAACAAGGUUUCCGUAGGUGAACCUGCGGAAGGAUCAUUAACAAAUUCAAACACGCGUGUUCCCUUUCUCUCUCUCUCUCUCUCUUUCUUCUUUGCGGAAGAGGAGAGGGUGGGGGUUAAUAGGGUUAUCACACACAUACACACAUUUUGAUAGACACAACAACAUCAUCUUCUCUCACAUGAGAUGAUAAUGUGAUGAUACAAUAAAACAAUCGAGACAACUUUUAACAAUGGAUCUCUUGGCUCUUGCAUCGAUGAAGAACGCAGC